This 6243-nucleotide long non-coding RNA is filed under the name Brassica napus (rape). RNAcentral's name for it is "long non-coding RNA (BNAP_LNC006020)". Lineage: Eukaryota; Viridiplantae; Streptophyta; Magnoliopsida; Brassicales; Brassicaceae. The record is from RNAcentral.
UUUUUUCAUUUAGAAUACGUAUGGGGCUUGUAGAAAUUAACAAUGAUCACCAUAAGAACUACUAGUAGGAAAGAAACUGAGCCUCACGUAACCAAAAGACCUCCAUUAAAUUUAAACCGAUGGAAGAAGAAGAAGAUUUGGUGGUGGUGAUAUCAAGGAGCAUCGUGAUCCCCAGAAACGCCAAGAAAUCGACUUCCUCCAAGAAGAAGAUCCAUCUGCUUCCUUGGGAUCUCUCUCGCCUCCGCUUCGGUUAUCUUCAAAGAGGUCUCCUUUUCUCCAAACCUUAUCCAAAAAUCGACACAGUUCUCUCAAAGUUACAAACUUCACUCUCUCUAGCACUUGACCGUUUCUACCCUUUAGCUGGUCGUCUCGUAAAGGUACAGAACGACGACGACACUGUCUCCUUUUACAUCAACCCCGAUGGCUCAGGCGUGGAGUUCGUUCACGCCUCAGCUACAAACAUCGAGGUCAGUGAUGUCCUUAGAUUAUCUACUUCUCUCAGCUCCUUCUUCCCCGCUACUGGGGUCAAGAACUGUAACGGCGUCUCGAGAUCUCUCCUCAUGGUUCAAGUGACUGAGAUGAAAGAUGGGAUCUUUAUCGGUUUCGGUUACAACUCCACUGUAGCUGACGGAGAUUCGAUCUGGAAGUUUUUAAACGCGUGGUCUGAGAUCUGCUCCAAGGGUUUGGUUCCCGAACCUUGUCAGCGUCGUCUUCAGCUUAAAGGUUGGUUCUUUGAGGAGAUUGAGUACCCGAUUCGGAUCCCAGACCCGGAGGCAAAACCAGCUAGGGUCACAACAGCUUCGAGUGGUUUACAGGAGUUGAUGUUUCAUGUCACAAAGGAGAAUGCUUUGAAACUUGAAGCUAAAGCCAACGAUGAGAAAGUGUCGUCAUUACAAGCGGUGUUAGGACAUUUAUGGUGUUCGAUGGUUAAGCACAGUGGGAUGAGCAGAGAGGAAGAGACUCAUUGCAGGUUACCUAUAGACAUGAGGAGAAGGGUGGAUCCACCGUUGGAAGAAGACUGUUUUGGGAACGUGAGUCAGACCGGGAUAGCGAAAGUCACGGUUGGUGAGCUGAUGGAUAAUGGAUUAGGGUGGGCGGCUGGGAAGAUAAACGAUAUGGAGCGGUCGCAAACGCAUGAAAACGCGGAAGGGAAUGCGGAGAAAUGGGUGAGAGAUGUGAAGAUUCCGGUUUCGGUUGGUAGUAAAGAUUUGGUUGUGACGAGUUCUCACCGGUUUGAUGUGUAUGGAAAUGAUUUCGGUUGGGGUAAACCGGUAGCUGCGAGAGCUGGACCGCCGUAUGUGAGUGGGAGAAUGGUUGUGUUCCAAGGGGUUGAAGAAGGGAGUCUUGAUUUUCAGGCUUGCUUGCUGCCUCAAGUAGUGGAAAAGCUAUCAGAAGAUGUUGAUUUUAAAGAGUUUGUGAGCAUUGUAUUAUGAUGGUUUGAUGACUUGGUUCAACAAUUUGGAUCGAAUUUAAAAUGUGUGUGUGUGUGUGUGUGUGUUUCUUCCUUUUCUGAUUGUUUGUAAUUCAUCAACCUGGUCACAUGAAAUUCUCAGAUGGCCAUAAACAUUUUUAAAAUAAAUUUGAAUAAUUUUUCUUUAGUUUGGAAGUAGCAGCAGCUUAUGUAUACUAGAUCUUUAAAAUUUAUGAAAAACAAAUGUUUCACAGCAGCAUGUCCAUGGAUGAAAACUGAUAAUGGGCCUGCAAUUUAUGACCCAAUACGCAAUCAAACCGGCCCAAUGUAUUAGAACACGUGGUGAAUAUGUGUUUAGGUGAGAACGGGAUUUGGAUAUACACACUGUCACUCACUAGUCACUACUGUAAUCAUACUGCUCCAUCGAAUUACCUCCAGAAGCGAAGACGACAAACAAGACAUGGCAGAUGUUGUUGUGCUCUCUAAAAGCAUAGUUCGACCCGAUGGAUCGGAUUCGGAUCGGGUAAAGAUCCAUCUAACUCCAUGGGAUCUCUUCUUCCUUCGAUCAGACUACCCGCAAAGAGGUCUCCUCUUUCCAAAACCCGACCCGGAAACCGAUAUAAUCUCACAACUCAAAUCCUCUCUUUCGGUUGCGUUGAGUAUCUUCUACCCAUUCGCCGGCAGACUAGUCAAGACCGAGAACGAAAACGACGAAACGGCGUCGUUCCUCGUAGACUGCGAUGGUUCAGGCGUCAAGUUCAUCCACGCUUCAGCUAAAACCGUCUCGCUGAGUGACGUUCUAGAACCGGUCAACGGCAUCGUCCCCGAGUUCUUGAACCGUUUCUUCCCGGCUAACGGAGUCAAGAGCUGCGAAGGGGUCUCUGAGUCGUUGAUCGCGUUCCAAGUAACGGAGUUAAGAGACGGAGUCUUCAUCGCGUUCGGCUAUAACCACAUGGUCGCAGACGGAUCUUCCUUCUGGAGCUUCUUCAACACUUGGUCGGAGAUUUGCUCCACCGGAGUUGACCGGGAUAAAAAGUUCCCGCCUCUGCUUCUCCGCGGCUGGUUUCUCGACGGGAUCGAUCACCCGAUUCGAAUCCCGAUCUCGGAGACGGUGAUACCGUCUCCUCCGGUUGCUUCUUCGUCAUCGUUGCUACGAGAGAAGGUCUUUCGAUUCACGAGAAGAAACAUCUCCGAGCUCAAAUCGAAAGCAAACGGAGAAGUUAGCUUCGAUGAUCGGAGAAUCUCGUCGCUUCAGGCGGUUUCAGCGCAUAUGUGGCGAUCGAUUAUCAAAAACAGUGAUUUGAAUCCGGAGGAAGUGGUUUACUGCAAGUUACUGAUGGAUAUGAGACGGAGACUAAACCCUCCGCUUGAUAAAGAGUGUUUCGGAAACGUCGUCGGAUUCGCGACAGCGACGACAACGGCUGGAGAAAUGGUUAGUAAUGGGCUGGGUUGGGCCGCGUUGCAGAUAUUAUUACAAGAGAGAUAUGUGGAACCUUAACGACUCACCUGAUCACCACGAAGAAUCCGACGGUAGAUGGAAACGGGCUGGAGAUGUACCAAUCUCUAUGAGAUCAUCGACCACGUGUCUGUUGUCUGUUCCUCCGGUGACCCGAAAUUUUUUUCCGAAUCAAAUCAUGGAACAGGAAGUUCCAGGAAUAUCUGGGUCCGGUAUCACUAGAAACCAAUGUCUUGUUCGGUCGGAUCCUAGCGGGUCUGGUCGUCCGGAAAACCUAGAGCUGGAGAUAACACCGCCGGUAAAAAAGAGCCGACGUGGUCCUCGUUCCCGGAGCUCUCAGUAUAGAGGAGUUACUUUUUACCGACGAACCGGAAGAUGGGAGUCACAUAUUUGGUAACUUAAUUUUCUUAACCCUACGAUAUACCGAAUACUAUUAUUGCAUAUAUGGUACAUCCAUCAAAUCCAAGUUUCAUUUCAUUCGGGCCAAUACCUUAUUGUUAUUUUUAAAAUAUGUGUUGGAAUAUUAUGCAGGGACUGCGGGAAGCAAGUGUACUUAGGUAUGAUCAUGUAAUGUUGUUCAAACACAGAUCAAAUAUCCUAUUGAAACUAAGUUGUGUUGUGUCUGUCCAUUUUUAUAUGAUUUCUUCGACCAAAUAAAGGUUUUAUUAUCUCCUUAUAUUACUUUUUGUUACAUAUUCAGGUGGAUUUGACACAGCACAUGCCGCUGCUCGGUAUGUUUUACUCAUCCAAAUAUGAUCAAUUAGAACGAAUCUAAUAUUCCUUAUUUUGUAAUUUGCUGAUAUACAAAUUAAUUUGGGUGGGUAACUGUUUGGGACAGUGCCUACGAUAGAGCCGCAGUUAAGUUUAGAGGUGUAGAUGCAGAUAUAAAUUUCAAUAUUGAAGACUAUGUGGAGGAUUUGAAACAGGUAAAAUAUUUAUUAUUUGUAGGUUCAAGCAAUUGACUUAGAUUAUUACUCGAACAUAAAACAAAUUAAUAUUUGUUGCAGAUGAGCAGUUUGACAAAGGAAGAGUUCAUGCAUGUCAUUAGAAGGCAAAGCACUGGGUUUCCAAGAGGCAGCUCUAAAUAUAGAGGUGUCACUUUGCAUAAAUGUGGAAGAUGGGAAGCUCGAUUGGGUCAAUUUCUCAACAAAAAGUAAAACUACACAAAUAAUAUGGGGUCAUUUUUUUUUUUGAAAUGUUUUGUUUUUCUUAUGGAUAUUUAAAAUUUGGUACUGUAUUGUUUGCUUUUUAUUUAUUUUCAGGUACGUUUAUUUGGGUCUCUUUGAUACCGAGAUGGAAGCUGCAAGGUACUGUUUUAUUAUUGUUCAAUGUCUCAUCAUCACGUUUCCAAAACAAUAGUAUUUAUGUUUGGGCAAAAGAAAAGCAAUAGUAUCUGUUUUGUUUAAUUUCUUCUUCGUGCUUUUUGAAUUAUAGAGCAUACGAUAAAGCAGCAAUAAAGUCUAAUGGAAAAGAUGCAGUUACCAAUUUUGACCCUAAAGUAUAUGAGGAACAGCAUAAUAGCCCAGGUAACUUGAUUUUACGUUUCCGCCUAUAAAAACUACAUAUACAUUUUUUUUACUCCAGUCACCAAAUUUUACUCACGGUAACCACAUUUUAUCACGGUAACAAUCAUCAGAGAAGCAGUGGGAUGAUCAUAACCUUGAUCUAAGUCUAGUUGAAUCAAACUCGGAAGAGUUUGGAACCAAAUCUGAGGUAAGUUAAGUUGUUCAUGUUUUUAUAAAUUUAAUGUGUGAAAAAAAGAUAAAUAGUGAUUAUGGUCUAAACUGAUACAUUUUAAAGACUGCGAGCAUGAGAAAUGGAUUUAGAGACGAGGAGAGACUAUUAGGGAGCCAUCUCUCCCUAGCGAUGACGACAACAGCGACUGUCGGAUCAGAGAAGCCAUUGGACGGUGGAGGAAAGCGAGUGGGAAUGGCGGCAUCAUCAGGAUUCUCUCCUCGCUUUCCUCCUUGGAACCACCACACUCCUCGCACCUUCCACUUCUUUCGUCCCUGAUUCACCAUCAUCAUCACAGUCACUCAUACAACAAAUGUUUUGGAGAAACUUUCCAGGAGCUAUUUUUCGGCUGUGUGGUGUGUAUGUAUUACAUAUAUGUUCUUGUGUCCAUGUAAGACUUUUCUUUCUGUAAUUUAAUCAUACAACAAAUGUUCGUGGCCCACAUCCUACAUGGUAUCCCCUGUACAUAUUGGAGACUUCUGUUUCAUCAUUUACCAUCUCAUCACAUGCGCUUAGUAACUUAGUUAGGUUUCGAGUCCGGAUCUAGAGAAUACCAUGCACACAACCCAACCGCAAUUUCAGAAAAUAUUAUACCUAAAUGGGUUUUAACGAAAAAAUGUACAUCCGAAUAAAUUUAGGUUUUCUGAGUGAAGUUGGGUUGGGUUGGGCUGGGUUGUUGACAUGGGCCACCCCUAAUAUCGGGACCAAUUCUUUUUUUUUUUUUGAGGGUCAAACAUUGAUAAUGAGAUCCACGUAUUUUUGUCCAAUAUUAUUCAACAAAAAGUAACAAAUAUGUGAUUUAAAUUUUCUAGCUAAUGGAGUGAAUAUGUUUUAUAAUUGUGAAUCACUGGACAUACAUGUGUCUUGCACUAGCUAGUUUUAUAGUUGUUUGAUAAUUCGACAUGUGUAUUGCACUAAUAGUAUAUAUUUACUAGUAUCACUAUCAAGUUGAUAAACUAAAGAUAAAGUGAUAGCGACAUACGAACCAAUCAUACAGAUUAGCCACCAGUGUUUAAAGUUUAUUGUUAUUACAGUAACAAAGCGCCAGAAAAUAAAAAAAAUAUGAAAAGCAACUCUGAGAGCCACAUAAAAGUCACAAAAACACAAUAAUGUAAGACUAUAAACAUGUUUAUAGGUCUUUUUUUCAUUUAGAAUACGUAUGGGGCUUGUAGAAAUUAACAAUGAUCACCAUAAGAACUACUAGUAGGAAAGAAACUGAGCCUCACGUAACCAAAAGACCUCCAUUAAAUUUAAACCGAUGGAAGAAGAAGAAGAUUUGGUGGUGGUGAUAUCAAGGAGCAUCGUGAUCCCCAGAAACGCCAAGAAAUCGACUUCCUCCAAGAAGAAGAUCCAUCUGCUUCCUUGGGAUCUCUCUCGCCUCCGCUUCGGUUAUCUUCAAAGAGGUCUCCUUUUCUCCAAACCUUAUCCAAAAAUCGACACAGUUCUCUCAAAGUUACAAACUUCACUCUCUCUAGCACUUGACCGUUUCUACCCUUUAGCUGGUCGUCUCGUAAAGGUACAGAACGACGACGACACUGUCUCCUUUUACAUCAACCCCGAUGGCUCAGGCGUGGAGUUCGUUCACGCCUCAGCUACAAACAUCGAGGUCAGUGAUGUCCUUAGAUUAUCUACUUCUCUCAGC